GAGGCUGGGGGCCGCCCUCUUCAACAAAAUCACUGAUGCUGGAGUCGCUGUGCCAUCACUCGGCAGCACCAGGAUGUUGUCGAGGAGGACGGCCCGGCUGGCG
Molecule: microRNA precursor, 103 nt
Filed under: Dasypus novemcinctus (nine-banded armadillo)
Lineage: Eukaryota; Metazoa; Chordata; Mammalia; Cingulata; Dasypodidae
Description: miRNA (ENSDNOG00000042919.1)
Source: RNAcentral